RNAcentral lists this unclassified non-coding RNA (240 nucleotides) under soil metagenome. Its description in RNAcentral is "partial contains 5.8S ribosomal RNA, internal transcribed spacer 2, and large subunit ribosomal RNA". The record is from RNAcentral.
AACCAUUCUCACCUGCGGCUAGACCUGCGGAAGGAUCAUUAAAAAAAUCUUUUGCCCGCGGACCUUUUGUCGUCCAAGGCGCAAAAAGACCCACACCUGUGUGCACUGUUAUCGUUUCUUUGGCAGGGGCUUGGGUGGAAUUUUUUUCCCUCAACUUCUCCUUCGGCUCUAUCCUUUCUCUCGGGGGGAGGACAGCUGGACAUGGGAAGCAGUUUACCCUGCCAAGUAAACCUCAAACAC